Passer domesticus (house sparrow) is the source of this 281-nucleotide long non-coding RNA. RefSeq lists it as uncharacterized. NCBI's taxonomy places the organism in Eukaryota, Metazoa, Chordata, Aves, Passeriformes, Passeridae. The record is from RefSeq and is a predicted model, not a curated record. The transcript is spliced from 2 exons.
CCGUGGUCCUUGGGGACCAGAGCUGUCAGCACGUGGCUGCAGGCAGCCCUGGGGACACGGGCAACCAGGUGUGUCUUGGGGAAAAGAUAAGUGAAGGUUCACAGACUUCAAAGACAUUCCUACAAACAUCACCUCCCACCACCUCCCUCACAAUGCCCUGGGUGUCUUACCCAGACUUUUCUCAGUAAACACAGGCCAUGUGGAAUGACACAAGAAGCACGAGAAAUGAUAAACAGCUGUUGAAAAGCAAGCAAGCACUCAUUAAAAGACACCCCUUGGAA